Molecule: ribosomal RNA, 467 nt
Filed under: uncultured bacterium
Lineage: Bacteria
Description: bacterial SSU rRNA
Rfam family: Bacterial small subunit ribosomal RNA
Source: RNAcentral
GGGCCCGCACAAGCAGCGGAGCAUGUGGUUUAAUUCGACGCAACGCGAAGAACCUUACCAGGGCUUGACAUCUGUAGAAUUCGGUAGAAAUACUGAAGUGCCCUUUCGGGGGAACUGCAAGACAGGUGGUGCAUGGUUGUCGUCAGCUCGUGUCGUGAGAUGUUAGGUUAAGUCCUGCAACGAGCGCAACCCCUGUUGUUAGUUGCUAGCAUUAAGUUGAGCACUCUAACGAGACUGCCGAGGUUAACUCGGAGGAAGGUGGGGAUGACGUCAAAUCAUCAUGCCCUUUAUGCCCUGGGCCACACACGUGCUACAAUGGCCGGUACAAAGAGAAGCAAGGCAGCGAUGCGGAGCAAAUCUCAAAAACCGGUCCCAGUUCGGAUUGCAGGCUGCAACUCGCCUGCAUGAAGCUGGAGUUGCUAGUAAUCGUGAAUCAGCAUGUCACGGUGAAUGCGUUCCCGGGCCUU